This 1366-nucleotide long non-coding RNA is filed under the name Mytilus galloprovincialis (Mediterranean mussel). The record is from RNAcentral. Lineage: Eukaryota; Metazoa; Mollusca; Bivalvia; Mytilida; Mytilidae.
CAAUUUAAAACUAAGGGAGAUAAUUCCAUCAAAAGUGCUAAAGUCACGUGAUGCAAAUCAUAUGAGUAAAGCUCCUAUGAUUUUGCCAUAUGAAAUUUAAUAUAUAAAAAAAUACAUACAUAAAUCAUCAAAUCCAGAUAAAUUACAAAUAAAAAAGUAUAUUCAAAUAGAAAAAUAGAAAAAAAAUAUCAGAUAAAGCUAGCACUAGUUUAGAAGGGUUAGUAAUAUCUGAAGAAAUUACAGAAGCAGUGUUUAAAAUUAAACUUACCAAGGCUCAAGGUUUAGAUGGACUUGAUGUAGAAUUCUAUAGGAAGUUUUGGCCCCAAAUCCAAAAAUUACUACCCAAAGUAUAAAGUGAGUCCUAUAAUAAGAAAAGUUCGACAAAUACACAAAAAAGGGGGAGGGUGGGAAUUUACUAAUACUAAUCUUUAAAAAGAAUGAUCCAAAAUCUACGGAUAACUAUAAACUGUUGUUGUCAAAAUACUUGCUUAUACAUUUGCGCAUUGGCUAAAGAUAUUUUACCAAGUAUUGUAAAUGCUGACCAGAAAGGUUAUGUGAAAAAUAGUUACAAAGUGUUUAAUUAAAGACAAAUUCAAAAUGUAAUUGACUAUGCUAAAAAUUUCAAUGUAGAGGCGGCAUUUUUAUUUCCCCUUCUUUUCAAAAGCUUUUGAUUCAAUUGAAUGGAUUUUCAUGACACAAAUAUUAAAAAAAUUCGGAUUUAAAAAAGAAUUUUGACGUUGGGUUGAGAAUAUGUAUAAUGAUAUAUCUGGGUCAUUGUAAUUAAUUGGUGGAUAUCAAACCCUUUUAAGAUCUAUCUUGGAAUACGACAAGGAUAUACGUUGUCUGCUAUGAUUUUUGUACUAGCGGUGGAAGUACUAGCAUGCAAAAUUAGAUCUGAGAAAGCAUCAAAGGGUUCAAAAUUAAAUUAAAUGGUACUAUAAAAAGAUGUCAAUUUGUAGAUGAUACAACCCUAUUUUAAAAUCCGAAGAGGAAAUAUCUUUAGUUAUGAACUUAAUACAAUCUUUUGGCUCAUUCUCUGGCUUAAAAUUAAAUAGAACAAAAACUGAAGGAAUUUGGCUAGGCAGACUAAAGACUAAAGACAAUUCGAACGAAUCAAUUAGACGAAAAGUUUAGGCAUUUAUUUUGGGUACAAUAAAGAAAAGUUUUUCAAAAACAAGCUGAUAAAAAAGAAAACAUUAUAAGUAUGUGGUCAAAAAGAAAGAUAUGUACGGUAGGAAUAAUAACCGUAGUGAAGUCUCUUAUAAUCCCACAUACAACAUAUAUAUCAAGCAAUAUGAUAAGGCCAAAACAUUUUAUACAAAACAUAAAAACUAUGAUAUAUAACUAUUUCUUAAAUGGAAAAAAG